GACGAACGCUGGCGGCGUGCUUAACACAUGCAAGUCGAACGGAAAGGCCCUGCUUGCAGGGUACUCGAGUGGCGAACGGGUGAGUAACACGUGGGUGAUCUGCCCUUCACUUCGGGAUAAGCCUGGGAAACUGGGUCUAAUACCGGAUAGGAGCCAUUUUUAGUGUGAUGGUUGGAAAGUUUUUUCGGUGUAGGAUGAGCUCGCGGCCUAUCAGCUUGUUGGUGGAGUAAUGGCCUACCAAGGCGGCGACGGGUAGCCGACCUGAGAGGGUGGACGGCCACAUUGGGACUGAGAGACGGCCCAGAAGCCUACGGUAGGCAGUAGAGGGAAAUAUUGCACAAUGGGCGCAAGCCUGAUACAGCGACGCCGCGUGGGGGAUGACGGCCUUCGGGUUGUAAACGCCUUUCGCUAGGGACGAAGCUUUUUGUGACGGUACCUAGAUAAGAAGCGCCGGCUAACUACGUG
RNAcentral lists this ribosomal RNA (465 nucleotides) under uncultured bacterium. RNAcentral's name for it is "partial 16S ribosomal RNA". It matches the Rfam family "Bacterial small subunit ribosomal RNA", at positions 28 to 507 of the family's 1533-position model. The record is from RNAcentral.